AUUACCCUAGUAACGGCGAGUGAAGCGGGAACAGCUCAAAUUUGAAAUCUGGCCUUCGGGUCCGAAUUGUAAUUUGCAGAGGAUGCUUUUGGUUAGGUACUUUCCGAGUUCCUUGGAACGGGACGCCUUACAGGGUGAGAGGCCGGUACGGUUGGAUACCGAGCCCUUGUAAAGCUCCUUCGACGAGUCGAGUAGUUUGGGAAUGCUGCUCUAAAUGGGAGGUAGAUUUCUUCUAAAGCUAAAUACCGGCCAGAGACCGAUAGCGCACAAGUAGAGUGAUCGAAAGAUGAAAAGCACUUUGAAAAGAGGGUUAAAUAGCACGUGAAAUUGUUGAAAGGGAAGCGUUUAUGACCAGACUUUUUCGAGGCGAAUCAUCCGGUGUUCUCGCCGGUGCACUUCGUCUGGUUGAGGCCAGCAUCGGUCUUCGUGGGGGGAUAAAAGCGGUGGGAAUGUGACUCCUCCGGGAGUGUUAUAGCCCGCCGUAUAAUACCUCCAUGGGGACCGAGGUUCGCGCUCUGCAAGGAUGCUGGCGUAAUGGUCAUCAACGACCCGUCUUGAAACACGGACCAAGGAGUCGAACAUUUGUGCGAGUGUUUGGGUGUUAAACCCUCACGCGUAAUGAAAGUGAACGGAGGUGAGAGCCCUUACGGGUGCAUCAUCGACCGAUCCUGAUGUUUUCGGAUGGAUUUGAGUAAGAGCAUAACUGUUCGGACCCGAAAGAUGGUGAACUAUGCGUGGAUAGGGUGAAGCCAGAGGAAACUCUGGUGGAGGCUCGCAGCGGUUCUGACGUGCAAAUCGAUCGUCAAAUCUGCGCAUGGGGGCGAAAGACU
This 830-nucleotide ribosomal RNA is filed under the name Beltrania sp. CB-2023a. RNAcentral's name for it is "partial large subunit ribosomal RNA". It matches the Rfam family "Eukaryotic large subunit ribosomal RNA", at positions 74 to 932 of the family's 3401-position model. The record is from RNAcentral. Lineage: Eukaryota; Fungi; Ascomycota; Sordariomycetes; Amphisphaeriales; Beltraniaceae.